Molecule: non-coding RNA, 232 nt
Organism: Penaeus vannamei (Pacific white shrimp)
Lineage: Eukaryota; Metazoa; Arthropoda; Malacostraca; Decapoda; Penaeidae
Source: RefSeq, a predicted model, not a curated record
UUGAGACUGAGGACGAAUAUCUAUUUCCAGGAAAAACGAGGAGACAGAGAGGUGGAGCAACUCUUCCGAUCUCUUGAACUAAUAACAGAGAUAAAGGAGGGGCAGAUUGAGAAGAUAGUCAACUCCUCAGAUGACAAUCUCCCACGCACAAUUGCAGACAUUCAAGUGGCUCUCCACAUGUUAGAAGAUACCAUUGACACUGAGAAGAAAUUUAACUCGGAGGAGCUUCUGG